UACGGAGGAUGCAAGCGUUAUCCGGAAUGAUUGGGCGUAAAGCGUCCGCAGGUGGCAAUGUAAGUCUGCUGUUAAAGAGUCUAGCUCAACUAGAUAAAAGCAGUGGAAACUACAUAGCUAGAGUACGUUCGGGGCAGAGGGAAUUCCUGGUGUAGCGGUGAAAUGCGUAGAGAUCAGGAAGAACACCGGUGGCGAAAGCGCUCUGCUAGGCCGCAACUGACACUCAUGGACGAAAGCUAGGGGAGCGAAUGGG
RNAcentral lists this ribosomal RNA (253 nucleotides) under uncultured bacterium. Its description in RNAcentral is "partial 16S ribosomal RNA". It matches the Rfam family "Bacterial small subunit ribosomal RNA", at positions 524 to 776 of the family's 1533-position model. The record is from RNAcentral.